This 429-nucleotide ribosomal RNA is filed under the name Acidobacteriota bacterium. RNAcentral describes it as "Acidobacteria bacterium partial 16S ribosomal RNA". It matches the Rfam family "Bacterial small subunit ribosomal RNA", at positions 355 to 776 of the family's 1533-position model. The record is from RNAcentral. Lineage: Bacteria; Pseudomonadati; Acidobacteriota.
UGGGGAAUUUUGGACAAUGGGGGCAACCCUGAUCCAGCAAUGCCGCGUGUGUGAAGAAGGCCUUCGGGUUGUAAAGCACUUUUGUCCGGGAAGAAAUCGCACCUGAUAUUACCGGGUGUGGAUGACGGUACCGGAAGAAUAAGGACCGGCUAACUACGUGCCAGCAGCCGCGGUAAUACGUAGGGUCCAAGCGUUAAUCGGAAUUACUGGGCGUAAAGCGUGCGCAGGCGGUUGUGCAAGACCGAUGUGAAAUCCCCGGGCUUAACCUGGGAAUUGCAUUGGUGACUGCACGGCUAGAGUGUGUCAGAGGGGGGUAGAAUUCCACGUGUAGCAGUGAAAUGCGUAGAGAUGUGGAGGAAUACCGAUGGCGAAGGCAGCCCCCUGGGAUAACACUGACGCUCAUGCACGAAAGCGUGGGGAGCAAACAGG